Molecule: RNA transcript, 8806 nt
Organism: Mus caroli (Ryukyu mouse)
Lineage: Eukaryota; Metazoa; Chordata; Mammalia; Rodentia; Muridae
Gene: Jmy
Gene name: junction mediating and regulatory protein, p53 cofactor
Source: RefSeq, a predicted model, not a curated record
CCGCUCCCGUUGCUGCCGCCGCCGCCGCCGCGUCAGCAGCGUGCCGCACGUGCCCGUGUUUACGUCCCUCGUGGAGCCGCAGACGUCACAGCCGAAUGGCAACAUUGUGGCGACGCUGAGACUGGAGCUUUAGGAGUCUGCAUUCUGGGUCUGGCUGGGUCGGCGCUGUUGGCCGGGGGCAGAGAGGCGGCGGGGAGGUAGGCCCCGGGCGAGCGGCGGACGCGCGCCUCAGCUCGCAGCUCCGCGGCUCCGCGCAGGCCGGUCCGGCGGCCCAGGGCCCUGCGCUGCGGCAGUGAGCGGCUUGUAAACAGAUCCGGCCGCACGUGACCAUGUGAACUACCUGCUCCGGGCCGCGUAUUGUCUCUUCUGAGAGUCGCACCACAAAGGAGCCGGUGGGUGAGCGGCCGGCGCGCUAAGAUGGCUGCAGGCGCCCGGCAAGGGUGAGCUGGGGGCGCGGCCACCGCGGAGACUCGGCCGGGCGGGCGGCCCCCCUCGCCGGGCACCGGAGCUACCAUGUCGUUCGCGCUGGAGGAGACACUCGAGUCCGACUGGGUGGCGGUGCGGCCCCACGUAUUCGACGAGCGCGAGAAGCACAAGUUUGUGUUCAUUGUGGCCUGGAACGAGAUCGAAGGCAAGUUUGCUAUAACCUGUCACAACCGGACGGCCCAGAGACAGAGGAGCGGUUCCCGGGAACAGGCGGGGACGCCCGCGUCUGAUGGGAGUCGCGGGCCCGGCAGCCCCGCAGCCAGGGGUCGGUCAGAGGCCGCUGCCUCUGCUACAGCAGCGCUCCGGAGUCCCGGGCCACGGAAGAGCCAGGCCUGGGCCGAGGGCGGCUCUCCGCGCAGCGCGCGCAGCCUGAAGGGGGAUCCUCCUCGGGGUCCCGCGGGCAGAGGACCGGAGAGUCCUCUCCGUAGCCCCGCGCGGGCCAAGGCCAGCCCGCUCCGCAGAAGCGCCGAAUCCCGAGAUGCGACCGCCAGUGCCACGCCAGUCCCGCCGGCGCCCCCGGUGUCGUCGGUGCGGGUGGUGAGUGCCUCCGGGGCGGUCUCCGAGGAGAUCGAGGUCCUGGAAAUGGUGAGGGAGGACGAGGCGCCACAGCCGCUCCCGGACUCGGAGCAGCCGCCGUCUGCCGCGGAGCUGGAGUCUCCGGCCGAAGAAUGCAGCUGGGCCGGGCUUUUCUCCUUCCAGGAUCUGCGGGCCGUGCAUCAGCAGCUGUGCUCGGUAAACUCCCAGCUGGAGCCCUGUCUGCCUGUGUUCCCCGAAGAGCCGUCCGGCAUGUGGACGGUGCUGUUUGGGGGCGCCCCCGAGAUGACCGAGCAGGAGAUCGACGCUCUAUGUUACCAACUCCAGGUCUACCUGGGCCACGGCCUGGACACGUGUGGCUGGAAGAUCCUUUCUCAGGUUCUUUUCACCGAGACGGAUGAUCCGGAGGAGUAUUACGAAAGCCUCAGCGAGCUGCGGCAGAAGGGCUAUGAAGAGGUGCUUCAGCGGGCCAGGAGGCGCAUCCAGGAGCUCUUGGACAAGCACAAGACUAUAGAAAGCAUGGUAGAGCUUUUGGACUUAUAUCAGAUGGAGGACGAAGCCUACAGCAGCCUUGCAGAGGCUACAACUGAGCUCUACCAGUAUUUACUUCAGCCAUUCCGAGACAUGCGAGAACUUGCCAUGCUACGAAGACAGCAGAUCAAGAUUUCCAUGGAGAAUGAUUAUUUGGGCCCUCGAAGAAUUGAGAGUCUACAGAAAGAAGAUGCUGACUGGCAGCGGAAAGCUCACAUGGCUGUUUUGUCUAUUCAGGAUCUCACCGUCAAAUAUUUUGAAAUAACAGCAAAAGCUCAGAAAGCUGUGUAUGAUCGGAUGCGAGCAGAUCAGAAGAAAUUUGGCAAAGCAUCGUGGGCAGCAGCUGCCGAACGAAUGGAAAAACUCCAGUAUGCAGUUUCUAAAGAGACUUUGCAGAUGAUGCGAGCUAAAGAAAUUUGUCUGGAACAGAAGAAACAUGCACUAAAAGAAGAGAUGCAAAGCUUACAGGGUGGCACAGAAGCUAUAGCUCAAUUGGAUCAGCUAGAAUCUGACUACUACGAUCUGCAACUUCAGUUGUAUGAAGUACAGUUUGAAAUCUUGAAGUGUGAGGAGUUGUUACUAACCGCACAGCUGGAGAGCAUCAAAAGGCUUAUAUCAGAAAAGAGAGAUGAAGUGGUAUACUAUGACACUUACGAAAGCAUGGAGGCCAUGCUGGAGAAGGAAGAGAUGGCAGCGUCUGUGCACGCCCAGAGAGAAGAGCUACAGAAACUGCAGCAGAAGGCACGCCAGCUGGAAGCAAGAAGGGGCCGUGUCUCAGCCAAGAAAGCCUACCUCAGAAAUAAAAAAGAAAUUUGCAUUGCAAAACACCACGAGAAGUUCCAGCAGCGUUUUCAGAGUGAAGAUGAAUAUAGAGCCCAUCAUACAAUACAGAUAAAGAGAGACAAAUUGCAUGAUGAAGAGGAAAGAAAAAGUGCCUGGGUUAGCCAAGAGAGACAGAGGACACUGGAUAGACUUCGAACAUUUAAGCAGAGGUACCCCGGGCAAGUCAUCCUUAAAUCGACCAGAUUACGAGUGGCGCAUUCACGAAGAAAAAGCACAGCAAGCCCUGUGCCCUGUGAGGAGCAGUGUCACUCUCUGCCAGCAGUGCUGCAGGGGCAGGAGAAGACAGAGGUGGGGGAAGGAGGAAGCCAGCUUGGGCCUUCACAGACAGCAGAACCCCGAAGCCUUGUCCAACUUGAAGACACUUCAUCAGAACAACUUGAAUCCACCUCAUUACCUCCUCGUGCUGUUGUCAGCCCUGAACUGCCUCCUCCACAGUCAGCUCCACUGCUGACUAGUAUUGACCCCAAACCGUGUUCUGUUACUAUAGAUCCUCUCCCACCCCCUCUUCCUCCAACACCUCCCCCUCCCCCUCCACCCCCUCCACCCCCUCCCCCACCCCUGCCUGUUGCAAAGGACAAUGGGGCCUCCACCACUGCAGAGACACUGGAGAAAGAUGCACUUAGGACGCAGGGCAAUGAGAGGAGCAUCCCAAAGUCAGCCAGUGCACCUGCGGCACACCUCUUCGAUAGCAGCCAGCUGGUCAGCGCCCGGAAAAAGCUCAGAAAGACUGCGGAAGGGCUGCAGAGGAGGAGAGUGAGUUCACCCAUGGAUGAAGUGUUAGCAUCCUUGAAGCGUGGUAGCUUUCAUCUGAAAAAGGUUGAACAGCGAACUCUGCCUCCUUUUCCUGAUGAAGAUGAUAGUAAUAAUAUUUUGGCGCAGAUAAGGAAAGGGGUAAAGUUGAAGAAGGUUCAGAAGGAAGUUUUGAGAGAAUCCUUCACACUUCUGCCUGAUAGCGACCCUUUGACACGGAGUAUCCACGAAGCUCUAAGAAGAAUCAAAGAAGCGUCCCCAGAGUCAGAGGAUGAGGAUGAGGCUUUGCCUGGCACAGACUGGGAGAACUAGCAGGUCUUGGCUGACACGUAAGACAGGGCCUCAGCAUCAUGUAUAUUUCAGGUGACUUAAGAGAGAAGAAAAAUACCCAUGGAUGAAGACUGGCUCUGGUUCCUUUGGGGAAAAAUCUAAGCUCUUGGUCCCACAGUUGGAUUCCAUUAUGUCCUGAGUAUAUUGACAAAGUGGUAUGAAAAAGGAAGCACAGACGGGAGGUUACUACUGUCCAGUCCCUCUCAUUGAUAGUGCAAUGUUCCCGACUGCAGAGAACAAGCCUCCUGGAGACGGCUGUUCCUUCCCUACCACCCCCCCCCAUCUGCCCAAUCAUAAUCUCAUAGUGGCCAGUCCCAUCGCUAAUGAAUUCGAAGAACACUGGGUUGGCAGAGGUCUGCUGUACGAGCUACUUUGGGGUUCAUCUUUCCGUGGACUGAGAAGACUCGUGCCGAAGCACAGCAACUUCCACGUCAGCUUGUAGAGACAGAGACAGGCUACAGAAGAUAUUGAUCGAGGUGGUUAUGGUCAGGAAUUAAAAAAAAAAAAAAACAUCAUGAAAUGCACUUAAAAUUCCCACAUUAUUCAUCUCCAGAGAUGUUCAGUAUCUGAGAAGCCAAUGGAGAUAUACCUAUCAAUGUGUGCACCAGAACAUGACACAUUUAACAAGGCAUAUUUUUAAGAGUCCACAGUCUUACAUUUUGUAAGAGUUUGAAGUUAAAAUUUCCAUGCUUUUAAAAUAGCGUUUCAUAAUUCUGAAUUUAGAAUAGUUUGAAUUUUAUGUGCAUCCUGUUUCUGAGAAGCAAUGCUUUGUAAUUGGAUCUUUUUAGUCUUUUUGUUUGAACUACUGCCUGAUUACUAUAACUCAAGACUUUCCUAUUGAGAAUCACAAAGCAGAUUCAACAGUAGGGAUGCAGAUCACAGGCCUGCACCCGGCUACGUCUUUAUUGUUAUGCUCCAUGGUGAGGAGCAUGUAUUCAGUAAAGGUCCAGAAGGCAGCCAGGCCCGAAGCCUCCAGCUGGCAUUUUAGUGGUUUUGUUUUUUGUUCUUUUAUUCUGUGUAUAGAACUUGAGGAGAGCAUUUGUUGCUGUCACUAAAUCUUUAAACUCACAUGUGUAGAUCCAAUGCUGACCUGGCUGUAUCUUAAAGGGUCCAUUUAUGAAUGGGGCCGGCAGGGAUGGUCACUGGCCUGAUUAUGUGGACAUGCAUGAGGGCAGAUAUGCUGGGCCCAGUUUACAGUACAUUGUAGUGUGUGCUUUAUAUGGAGGAAUUGAAAUACCAAAAAGAACUUCAUUUGUAGAAAGUUCUUCCCCAGCGUUGCCCAGAAACUUCCCUGAAGCGAAAGCCUCUCAAUGCCCGCCAUAGUUUUCCUCCAGGAACAUGGCUUCCUUGUCACUUUUAAGAGAUGUGUUUCUUUAAUUAUGAAAAAUUCUUGUAACGGGUUAUAGAAAACCAAAUUUUUGCACUUAAAACAUUCAUGUUUAUUGAUGAGACUGGGAGCUCAUGUAGCAUUUACUUUAUAUAUUGGUUUUAGUCCAAGCAUAAUUCACACAUCUUGUCCGCAACAAUUAAAACAGCUCUGAUAUAUAAGCCUCAUUCUAAGAUGAUCUGUGUGUCCUUUACACCCCCAGUAAAGCACCAAAAUGUGUUUAACCCAGGGAGUCAUUGGCUAGAUAAAGAAAUAUUUUAAAAGCUUCAAAACUUACAAAUAUUCUAAAAAUCAGCCAUUGUUUAUAAACUUGUAAUAUUUACAGAUCUAUCCAUCGAUGCAUUAUAUAUUCAGGUUCUUUAUUUACUUACUUUUGAGACCAGGCCCUGCUUUGUAGCCCUGGCUGGCCUAGAAUUUGCUGUGCAGACCAGGCACACUCUGCAGCAGUCUGCUUCUCUCUGCCUCUCUUAUAGGUAUGCACCAAGAUGCCUGCAUCCCUGGUUUUUGUUUUUGUUUUUUUUUUUUAAAAGAUUCAUUUUUAAAAUUAUUUUAAAUUAUGUAAACUCUGUACAGAGGCUCUGGCUUGGUUACUAGGAACCAAACGUGGGUCUCCUGAAGGAGCAGUGUGUGCUCUCAAUCUCUGAGCAAUCUCUCCAGUCCCUUUUUUUUUUAAACUAUAGGAAAAUAUGAAAUAUAAUUUAUCAAAAGCCAUUGUGUUGUACUCCGUUUUAGCACCAAAUGCCUGGGCUUUGCAAGUGGGGAUGAACUGGGACAAUGAGCAGCUCUCAGCACAUCCUGACAAUCCAAGAUUACAGCAUGGAGCGAGCCUUCAGCCUGUUUUCAAGUAAAUGAUUUUCUCCCAACAUGCCAGCUUCUCUGCCUCGGGAGUCUUGUUUUUGUACUGGAGCGAGGCUCAGUAGUGAAGUGCAAGACCUUAUAUUCCAUCUCUAGCAUUGCUUCUUAAUCCUCAAGAAAAGAUUUUUACUUCAUAAAAUCACACACAUUGGAGUUACUCAUAAUAAUAUAAUUUAAAAUAACUAGUAUACAUGUGUUCAUCAAAUCACCAGGUGAGCCCUCAUUAAUUUAAAGUGGUUUUAGGGCCCCAGGAAAAUGACAAUAAGCAUGAUGUGUUUUUUCUCCCUUACUUUCCUAACACAGAAGUUUGGCUUAAUUUUAGAUGCAAUCAUCAGACCAUAAGUGAUAAGCUCUGGCCUUCACAGUUCGUUCAUGUGUCUAGUUGUCAUGGCAGUCAAUCACUGUUUCCAGUUCCCAGUGUAGUUAGCCUUCCACGGUGCCCAGUAUCCACAGACACUGCUUGUCUGUGCUGUUCCCAAGGGUUUUAUACUGAAGAUGGGAAAGCAGGAGACGACUAGAUGCUUCAUCUAGUGUUACUCUUCAUACUUGAAUGUCAAAUUUCAAAUAUGUCCCCGAUACAACCAAAAUUAUGUAUGGUAGCCGAUGUACUAUGUAUAGAAAAGAUAUCUCUACAUUAAAGGUCCUAAUUGUAUUUUAGCAGUAAGAAAUUGCUGGAGAAUGAGGAUUUUGGGGUCUAAGCAAUGGCCCUAUUUAAAGAGUGCUUUAUAUAGGGAUGUGAAGUUCAUGAGACAGCAUAAAAACAAUCAUUCCUUAGUUGUUCAUCAUGCACUUAAAACUUUCUUCCCCCUCCCCCUUCCUGAGAUGGGGUUUCUCCAUGUGGCCCUAGCUGCUCUGGAACUCCCUCUAUAGAUCAGGCUGGCCUCAAACUCAGGGAUUUGCCUGCCUCUGCCUCCUGAGUGCUGGGACUAAAGGCAUGUGCGACUACACCUGUUGCAAACUCCAUUUUUAAAAAGAUACUGGUAUGGUAUAAUGAACACUUUGUGGACUUUACAGUGUGUGUGUUCAGAGGGUUCUCAUUUCUAUAAAUAUGAAUGUCGAACAAUCCUUGGUACCACAGUAAGUCCUAGAAUGUGGUAAGUUGCACGGUGUACUGCAGACACCACACAUUAAGAAUUAGAAUUCAGUAGGAUAUAGAAUGACAGCAUCCAUAUGGCAUGGGGGCACGCACAUUGAUACAGUUGCAUUCUCUAGACUCCCUGAGACUUUAUGGGAUUCACCUACAGAAUAUGUUUGUAUUUAUUUAAGCCAAUACUUUGAGUCCAGCCUUGUAAUACACUCAUCAACAGACAUCAAUCUGCACAGUGACUUUGGGUCUUUAGUGGGCCUGUCAGGGAGUUUUGAGCUUUCUUCAUUUUACCAGUAAAAUAAGUAUAGAUCAUGAACAACUGCAGGACAUUUCAGACUGUUGCUCAAGAUGUAAGCACUUGACAGGGGAAGCAGAGACCUUUAAUUUUUCCACAUCUUUGCACUGAAUAUAAAUGAUUAUAUAAAGCUAAAUGUGCAUAUUGAACAUUUUAUUUGUGCUUGGUGUUGCCAGUGACCAUCAAGACUUUAGAUGGAAGAGGGGUGAGAAAGCAGAAGCACCUUACUGCUGAGCACACUGUGUUCAGGCCUCACUACUGCAAUAGUCAGGCCUGAACUUUAUGUUAGAGCACAUUAAAAUCCUGCCUAAUUGCUUGGAAAUAGGAUGGUAUUUUUAGCCUAUUUAUGUAAUGUAACUUAAAAGGUUUUCCCAGAAAGUGAGUUUAUAUUGUUAUCUAAACUAUCCCGUGUGUAAACAGAAGCUUUUAAAGGUAGGAGGCAGUCCUGAUGCAGAGAGAGACAGUGAGAGAGACAGUCCACUAAAUGUUCCCUGAGUUAUGCUAAAGAUGUUCUUAUUUUAAAUUUUUUGUUUUAUCCACAGUAAAUAUACAAUGUGGUAUUUAUAUGACUUAAUUGAUUGAGCUCCAAGUUUAUAAAUGUACCCUCACUUCAAAGCACAUUUUUUGGGCCACUGUAAGGUGCAUAUAGAGAAAAUUCCUCUGAGGUUGACAUGCUAAAGUGUUCAUGAGAGCUGCUUCACUUCCACCCUCAGAGAACCAAAGGGGAAGUUUCAUUUCUUUUUUUUUUUUUGGUAGAUUCAGUUACAGUUAACAGUGGCCCAAUUUGGGGUAUUGGAAAUGAAUAGGGAAGUCAAUGAAAUGUUUAAAAACUAAAGGUAUGGGCGUUAGAGUUGAGUUUUAACCGGAGAAAACAUUUGUUCUUGCAUGUUGUAUAGUUAACUGUCAAGGGGUGCAAUGCGGCAUUUUAGGUUUCUCCAUGCAAAUUCCUUUGUCUUUCCUCUGAAGUCUCUGCAGUCACGGGUGGCAUUUCCCUUUCCUGUGGUUUCCCCUUACUUGUGUGAUGGAACAAGGGUUGCCUCCCAUAGCAGGUUCUUACAAUGUUUUUGACACAGUCCCCACUGCCUUGUUGAAUCUCUCUCUGUAUUGUAUGCACUGCCAAGUGUGAAACCGUAAUACGUAGUUUAAUGAGAAACGGAAGGCUGCAGGUCACUUUGCAUGAGUAAAGCCCACUGGGGCUACAUAAACUGACACUUUUGUCAUUUUACCCAGUUGUGGGUAAAUGAAGAUUACAACGGCAGACUGACUCACCAUUACUUGCUUUGUGCAAUGUUAUAAAGGCAAAACACUAUGCACUGUGCUUGGCUUUACAGAUGGCAUUCCCACCAUGACAUUAAGUGGAUUGUCCACAGCAUACUAUAAAUGCCAUCUCUUGCAAAUUUAUAUACGUAAAUAUGCUCAAUUAACACUCUCAAGUAUUACAAGUAUAAGGAAACUACUAAGCAGGCAUUUAUAGCAAUACUAUAAAAUCUCCAAUCACUGUUUUGACUGUCGCCUUCUCCUUAGUGCAGCCUUUCUGCAUCGUAGUUGCUGCUUUUUUACAUUUCACACUCCUGACUUCAGAGUUAAGUACUUGCUCACCCAGUGUUGCACUCACCUUUCUUAUUGUACAUGCAAUGUAACAACACACAGUUUUGGUGCUUAACAAUAUUCCUUUUUUUCUUUAAUAAAGGAUAUUUAUUUGAAUUAA